Long non-coding RNA from Ictalurus punctatus (channel catfish), 6543 nucleotides. The record is from Ensembl. Lineage: Eukaryota; Metazoa; Chordata; Actinopteri; Siluriformes; Ictaluridae.
CUUUGAAAUGAGCAUGUCCAUGUGGCUUAGGCUAUGUCUCAAUCAGCUCCUAGUUCAGUAGUCAGGGCAAUGACCAAGGAGUCAACCAUUUUAAGGCCUGUCUCAAUCACAAAAUCCUGCCGGUGCACUGGGACAUUCGCUCCCUAUAAAAAUCCCACAAUGCACACAAAAAACAGGGAGCAUCGAUGCUCACAAUGUUCCCUUACUGGAUAUGACAUGCUUUCUGAAUGGUGGACAGACUCUUAGCCAACUUCCAUUUACAAAUGUCCCCAUUCUGCCGCCAAAACAGCAUUACAAGACCUCUGAAGGUGUGCUGUGGUAUCUGGUACCAAGAUGUCAGCAGCAGAUCCUUUAAGUCCUGUAAGUUGUGAGGUGGGGCUUCCAUGGAUCGGACUUGAUUGUCCAGCACAUCCCACAGAUGCUCGAUCUGAUUGAGAUCAAGGGAAUUUGGAUCCCAAAUCAACACCUUCAACACUUUGUCAUGUUCCUCAAACAGUUCCUGAACAAUGUUUGCAGUGUUGCAGGGCACAUUAUCCUGCUGAAAGAGGCCACUGCCGUUAGGGAAUACCGUUGUCAUGAAGGGGUGCACUGUACUUGGUCUGCAACAAUGUUUAGGGUCACGGGGAACCUGGAGCCUAUCCCAGGGAGCAUCGGGCACAAGGCAGGAUACACCCUGGACAGGGUGCCAAUCCAUCGCAGGGCACAAUCACAUACACAUUCACACACCCAUUCAUACACUACGGACACUUUGGACAUGCCAAUCAACCUACCAUGCAUGUCUUGGGACUGGGGGAGGAAACUGGAGUACCGCAGCAUGAGAACAUGCAAACUCUGCACACACAGGGCCACAGUGGGAAUUGAACCCCUGACCCUGGAGGUGUGAGGCGAACAUGCUAACCCCUCAGCCACCGUGCGCCCCAUGUGAAGCAAUGUGAUGAUAUAAAAUUAAAAAUAUCCAUAUAUGGCCAUGGCCUUUGUUUCGACUCAGGACAGCUGUUAUUUGCUGCUAUGUGGACGCUGUACACAACAAUGCUUCACCUUUGCAUGUUUGCUGAGAAUAAGCUAAUGGUUGAGAGGCAGGAAUUUGGCCAAUAGUUGCUGCAAGCCUUUUAUAAUCAACCAGUUGGUGUGUUGGAAGGUGGGAAAUACAGAGAGAGGUUGAAGCAAUGCAAAUAUGCGUACACAUGAUGCAGUAUUAGACCAUAAGUACAUCAUAAUGAAACUAAAACAGAAUCGAGUACAAUUUCUCAAAUUUAGACACUUUUUUUAAGGUCCGGGAAAAAGAGGACGUAUGGUCACCCUAACAAUUUUCUCUUUCUCUUUCUCAUUUGUAAGUCGCUUGGAUAAAAGCGUCUGCUAAGUGAAUAAAUGUAAAUGUAAAUGUAAUGUAACAAAAGCAUUUCAGAGAACAAUUUAUGUUAAUUUCUACCAAAUUAACUUUGCACAAAAUUAAUUUGCGCAAGCACCAGGAGGUUGCUCAUGUGAGUCACGACUGGCGAGAGAGAACCAGAACUAUAAUCAAGCAGCUGUCUAUACUGUGUUCUGUCAAAAGUUUCAUUUCUUUGGUUUUAAAUGAAAAAAAAAAUUGUAAUCCUGAUAGUCUUACCAUUUUUUUUUUAUUUAUUUUUUUUUUUUCACAAAAUGUACCUGCAAUCUGAUUCCUUUGUUUUUUGACAUAAUUUUAACAGAUUACAGUUACCAUUUUUUUGUAUCCUGAUUACGUAACGCCAUUACAUGUAUUCCGUUUCUACACAAGCCUGGUGAUAAUAGGAACUAAUUUGUCUCAUAUACAUUCCACAACAUUACAUGUACUACUAUAAACUGUUAAAGAGCAUGACAUGUUGUUUAUUAAUAAAUACAAAUUGCAAUCAUUGCCUAAUUGCUGUGGUACACAAGGAAAAAGACACGUCUGGGACAUCAUGUUACUGGAAAAUAAUCAACAUCAAGGUAGUAAGAGUAUCUCUCAUGCUUUGUGUCGGGCCACAUCACACCACCCCACCAUUAAUUAUUUUCCUAUUACAGUAUGCUCUGUAGUAUGUUAUACUCUAUUAUUCUGUAUUUAAUUCAUUUAGGCGUUCAAUUGCAAGAGGAAUAAAGAAAAUAUGCUGAGGUUCAAUUUGGGAUUAGGAAACCCUCUCCAUUUCAGUAUGAGUGUUUAUGGUUUCCUCUAUUAUACAUUAAGAUUUAAAUGUUCAGAAUCUUUAUAAAUGUGAUUUAUAGAUUUCACAGAUGUUCCUUUAUUUCUCACAAGUAACAUAAAUGGUCAAAUUUUGUAUGAUGUUUUCGAUUACAGGAUACACACACAUUUCAUCUUUAAAAUUCUGGAAUAAAAUAUUUUACAUAAAUGGUGAAGCAGAGAUUAUCUUUUGUCAUGAAAACACAAUUGGAGAUGCCGUUAUUGGCUUCAAAAGUAUAGUUCAAAAUAGAGAAAAUAUGUAUUUAACUAAAAACAGUGCGACAAUGGACAAGGAUUUUGCUGUCCUAUUAUCCUGAGUCUGAGAGAUGAGGAGUGUGUGUUGUUUGGACCCCCCACACAUACUUUUUGGGGUAAGGGCUUCCUGGCUACUCAGUUACAGAACAGCAAGCCCAGACCGCAAAAAGAUAUGUGAAGGGCAUAAGCAGAGGAGAGAUGUGAGGAUAUGCACAGAUCUUUCACAAGUCCACAUCGGAUCUGAAAAAUAGAAAGCAUGCUUACAGUUACUUCAUCUGUUACUCUGCAUGUUCUGUGUUUCUUGGCAUUACAGGCUUUUGAAUGCAUCAAUAUGCUGACAAGUAACUAGUUAGGAGGACUGCACAAUAUUUCUCUUGUUAGUUGGUUUUGCAAUAUUGUCCAUUGUUGUCUGUGCUGACAGUUGGCAGAAGGCUGACGUAUAAUAAAUCCUUAAUGAUUUCUCUGAUACUUCUUCUGAAGAAAUGAUCGCGCAACCAUGGGGGCAUUAACUACAGUAUAUGCAGGUAAUUUGCAUGCUCUUGAUUGGAACAUCCAGGAAAUGGACUUAAGCAGGUGCGUAACCCAUCUCUUAAUAUGUGUAACAUUACCCAUGUAAAUGCUAAUCAUGAAAUCAUGAACAUUUUAUGAGCAGCUAAAUGUUGUGAUGAAUUAAAUCAUUCAUGCGAGCCAACAAUUAUAAAUCAUUUUGGUCAAAAUACUGCAGGCCGAUAUUUAACCAUGUUUCGUUUCACCAAUAUGUUAUAAUAAUGCAAGGUAUAGUGAUAUAGUGUUAUGUACUGUAGUACAUUAUCCAAUAAAAUAGCAAUAGAAAAGUGUUUGCAUCACCAGGAUUUGAACUCACAGGAUUUGAUCUCAUGAAAAAAAAGCCUCAUCCAUUCAAGCCCAAGAGUGCAUAAUUAACCAUGUUUGCUGGAUUGGAAGAAAGCCAUUACUCUCUCCACUGUUAAUCAGACUGUGUGAGUCUCAUAUAUGCAAAAGAGGGUAGACAGUGCUUUCGUCCAAGUGUGUUUGGCCUCUCUGUGGUGUAGCAUGAGCAUCCGUUUGAAAAUAUUCGGUGACUGGCUUCACGGGUCUCAGAGGAAGCACAUGCUAGCCCUCACCCUUCCUGGUUGGUAGCUAUUGUGUGGGAAGUGGCAAAUGACCAAUUUGUUGGGGGAGGGAAUGAGAUAUCAAAAUCCAACAAAACACCUUUUAAGAAAUGCAUAUUACUUGACUAUAUGGAAAGGUAAUGAACAAAGGUUAUUACAUAGAGUUGCAUUGUGAUGAUCAGUUUUGCUUCAAAUUAUAUUAUGGGAAUUUUUUCUUCCUUAGAAGCUUUGCAUAGAUAUCUGUGGGUCUCUUGAUAAACUGAAAUGAGCGGUAGUAGAGUGUGCAUUCUGAUAUCAUUUUUUUAAAGAAUUAAUAGUAUUUUAAUGAAACUAUGAAACUAAUGAGAAAUCAGGUUCGCGUUCAAGCAAAAGUCUGAAACACAGAGGUUUCAAAUCAGAAAUGCUUUUUUUUUUAUGAAAGAUAGCAGACUACCAUCCAUCAAUAGCAACAAGUAAUAUGUUAGAUAUUCAAAUUGAUCAAGGAAGACAAAUUGUAUAAAUUGAUUGUCUAAAUAUUAGUACAUAUCCACUAAUAUUUCACAAAACACAAAGCCCAGCUUAUAUGAAUAUGAAUAUGAUUUAAAAGUGCUGUAUGUAAGGUUUUAAAAUGGUUUUUGGAAGAUAGAAACAUGGAACUCUAUGUAUUAAAGAAAUGGAUCUGUAAACCUGAAUGAUGUGACUGAUUGUAGUACCAUUUAUAAUACGUCAUUGGAUCAGGAGUGCAUCUUUCGUUGACAGAGCCAAAACAUCUCAGGGUUAUAAGGUCUGAUUUGAUUAGAAACUCCAGUAAAACAUGUUUGAAGUAGCUAAUUAAGCGAGUGUUAAUGUUAAUGUUCACUUUUCCAUAUAGUGUCAUUCCUAUAUGGAAUGACCCCCACACACAAGAGGCUGUGAUCUGACAAUGUAGUAAAAAAUAGACUACAAAUGGGACUACCAUAUACUGUUAAAAAAAAGUGUUAAUGUGGGAAACCUGAAAGAUUUUUUUUAAAUAUAGAACCAUGGAACAGCGGUUCUUAUUUAGUGGAAUCCCUUUUAAAGUUAAGAAAUCUUAUCCAUUCUUUCAAGUCUUUCUAUAUUCUUUAUAUUUUUCAUUUUCUGAUUCACCACUCUUUAAUGUAGCAUUUUUGUUUCUGUAUAUUUAACAGUAUAACUAUGUAUGCAUGUGAUGAAUGUGGUCAAUUUGCUUUAAUACGAAAUAUCAUUGCACAUCUACAGUAUUCCACAGAGUGGUGUAUUAAGUUUUCAUAUCAUAAUGUAGACAACCACUCAUAAACAGAUAAAUAAAUAAUAAACCAUUAAAUAAAAAGAGAGAAAAACAGAGUGCAUGUCUGUCUGAUAGAGGCAGACAUGCACAUCUGAACUGUUCCCUGAUGAACCUAAAACGUGUGCUUUUGCAUAUUGCAUAUUUUACUACAACUGCAGGGGCGUUCCUUUAGAAGUGAAUGAUUGAUUGUUGAGAACGUGUUAUAAGUCAUACUUUCUGGGUGCGCCUACUUUUCCAGCCUGCUUCCUUCCAGAAGUAUCUGUUGUUAUUGAUGUAUUUAUUUAUGUAUUUAUUCAUUUGUGUACAGACUGAUCAGUAUGAAAAUUGUUACUGCAUUACUUUUUUGUUGCAUUUAUUUCAGAAACUCAGCUAACAUCUCAGGUGACAACUCUAAGCUAGUAGUGAACAUGUGAUGGAUCAGUGUUAUUGUGUCAUUAAAUGUAACAGCCAAUCAUGUUUCAGCAUGCAAAUACAGGCCAUGCAACACUGGUAUACCAGUGGUUAUGGGCAUUUCUAAUAUGCUUAUUAAUGAAAUCUGAAUUUCUUUUGUCCACUUUUCUGCUGUAUAAGUCUUUUGAUUUAUUUUAUUUUAUGUUUUUGGUAGAACAGCUAUAUUUCCAACAUCAAAUUUAUGUGUGUGUUUGUUGUAUCUUUAAUGGAUAUAACAAAUAUUAAAAAUAGUACUUGACUCAUUGUCAGUUAACAGUGUGGGAUUAAAGUAUUGUUCAUAUUUCUAAUAAUGGAUUGAAUAUAUAUAAUUGAAUAUGAAUAUAUUGACUAUGAAAAUAAGUUUAAGACAUAGGACUAUUUAUACUAUAUCUAUUACCAUUAAGGUUUCUUUGGACUUUCCCUCUGUGGGAACCUUUAAAGGUUUUAUGUUGAACCCUAUAAUUACACUACAAUCUGCAAUUAGAACCUUUUUAGGCAUUUAAUUCUUGAGGAUAUGUAUAUGUAUAUGUUUACAGCCAUCUGCAUGUAAAGGAGAUUGCUGUAACAAUUCUUAUAAAUAUAUAAAACAUAAGACAUACAAGGAGAUUUUAAUGUACUCAUAAUGUAUUCUGUCCACAAAAAAACUUAGUUUAUCAAUCUGGUUUCAUUAGUAUUUAUGACAGUGUUUGUAACAUAAUAGUUUCUCCUCAGAGCUCAGUUAUCUAAAUAGGAAGAAUUCUCUCUUUGAGGUGUAGUUGAAUGAUAAUAGAAAUAAUAAUAAGAUCAUGUAGACUGGAUGUAAUCAGAAUGUAAUUUUGAUGAAAUAAUCGUGGUUCAUGGUGGAUGGUGAAUCACAUUAUUAUAUAUAUUUUUUUCUUCUGAAAUGGUGGCUCUAGUUUGGAUGAUUUCUUAUUCUAUUUUACAUCACACAUCCAUGAGUGUAAAUGUGAAUCAUUUCUAAUUAAAGAAUUUUACGAACACAGAAACAUUCAGGUUUGGUUGUUUUUAAAGAUGUUCAUGUCUUCUAGCAUAAGCAUCAUUAAUUAACGUGAGGAACAUGGACUGGAUCGGUACUAGACGUUGGUUUAGAACGACAGGUUUCACUCGGACAGGUGCACCGUAUGAAGAGCGAUGAGAUGAUCCUGCACUGAAGGAGACUGUAGGCCCAUAAUGAUGUAAUUAACACAUGGAUAACACUCAUUCAGGAAGGAUUCCCAGAUGUGAUUAGGCCUGUUUAAGGUUCAAUAAUUUGUUCAGUGAUUAUUUUGACUUUUACAGAAUGUAGAUCUAUAAAAACAAUUUUAAAACAG